GGGGAUUUAGCUCAGUGGUAGAGCACUUGCCUAGUAAGCGCAAGGCCCUGGGUUCGGUUCUCAGCUCCA
This 69-nucleotide transfer RNA is filed under the name Rattus norvegicus (Norway rat). It matches the Rfam family "tRNA". Rfam says of the family: Transfer RNA (tRNA) molecules are approximately 80 nucleotides in length. Lineage: Eukaryota; Metazoa; Chordata; Mammalia; Rodentia; Muridae. The record is from Rfam by way of RNAcentral.